AACUCACAUGAGGUGAUAAGCACUGUGUACACAGUGGCACAUGGAAAAGGGUCAUCGUGAACUUCGGGCCAGUGAAGGAGAGAAUCUCAGAGCCCCAGAGUCCUUGGUCAAGAAGUGGCUUACAAAGGCCAUACAGUAGGUCAGGAAUCCUGUUAUAUGGAUGGGCUGACAAGAGGCCUGGUGAUAGGAGCCA
This is a long non-coding RNA of Fukomys damarensis (Damara mole-rat), 193 nucleotides long. RefSeq lists it as uncharacterized. The record is from RefSeq and is a predicted model, not a curated record. The transcript has 3 exons. Lineage: Eukaryota; Metazoa; Chordata; Mammalia; Rodentia; Bathyergidae.